GAAUAUUUGAAAGUGUCUAAAAAUAUUUUUUUUAAUUAUCUGUAUUUGUACUCUUGCAUACUUUGUUUUCCAAGUAUUCAAAUGCGUAUAAUAAAUACUUUUGAAAAUAAGUAUCUGUAUCUGUAGUUAAAUACUUUUUAAAAGUAUCUUUUACAAGAAUGAUUUUAACCGCUAACAAAAGAUAUUAACGAUACAUUACUUACUCGGAUUUGUUUUUAUUUAAAACAUAUACAUUCUACACCCAUUAAUACUUACAUCUACUCAGUUAUAAUAUAUGAAACAUUUUACGAUUUUUAAUUCAAACCCUUUGCAUAUUUUUAAAUUAGUUCAUCUAAUAUUUAAAACAAUAGUAUUAUUUUUAGUUUGAGAAAUGACAAGAUGUGACGGUAUAGCAAGGAGAAACGUGUAAAGUCCAAAUGGAGGGUCAAUUAAGAGCAACUGAAAGGGAGAAAUUGGAUGAUUAUUACGGAUACAUACGACAAAUAUUUCUUGUAUUUAAUGAAAAAAUAUUUUUUUUGAGAAACUCGUAACAACGUAUUAGAGCAAUACCUAAUAAUAAUAUAUAUAUAGCAUAAAACCAGUGUCUGGAACGUUCACCGAAAAAUUGAAUUCGUUUGCAUUCAUUGUUUAAAAAAGAAACUCGUUCACGUUAAAUUUAAUGAAUCACUUACCUGAAGUCAGUAAUAUUAAACCCGUAAACAUAAUAACAUAAGAAAUAAUAUUUGAAAUUCCUGACGAUUAAAUCUAAAUCUGACGGCGCAGAUGAUAAAGCCACGCACUACCGUACCUUAAUAUUACGGAUGCAUUUUCAUUACGAUAUCGGAUAUAGUUAUGAUAUUAAGUCGAGCCGAGCCCACUGAAAUACCACGUACUAUAUUUUUAAAGUUUAAAAUUAAAUAGCUAUAAAAAACGAGUGACACUCUCGGUCGUUCACUAAUUUACUAAUAAUGAAUUUUUUUUAUAAACACAGCAUAAAACGGAGGAACAUUAAUAAUAAUAUGCAUUAGUCGAUUCGAUGAAUUAAUCAAAUAAUAAAUACAGAAUAAUAAACAACGGUUCAAUACCAAAUAUCCAAAUCCGAAUAGUUUCAAGUUUCUAUUACACUGUUCGUGAAGUACGUCAUUAGAUACUUACUUCCCAUGAAGAUAACAUUGUUUGAUGGCGUAGCGUUAGUAUUAUAAAAUGGCAAGUACACGCACAAAAACUAUGUAGACAGUAAUUACCUAAAAUAAUAAUAAUAACAUUUUCAUAGUAUUUUUAUAAUUUUUUUAUUUUAACGAAUCGUUUUAGAAAUUUAUUGAAUGUUACAACAAUUAAUAAUACUUACAAUAAUAAUUAAUAUUAUAUUGUAAAUAGUUGUUUUGUAUAUAGUAUUCAUACAAUUGUUUAAUAUUGUUUUUUGGUACUUAC
Non-coding RNA from Cinara cedri, 1410 nucleotides. Lineage: Eukaryota; Metazoa; Arthropoda; Insecta; Hemiptera; Aphididae. The record is from the annotation of a GenBank genome assembly.